UUAGUCCAGGAAUUUACCAAAACAUCCAAAACUCAUAUCAGCGACAAAACAAGAGCAUAACCACUGCAUGUAUCAAGCAAGAUGAUCCUUUGAAUGUUGCUGGAAUACUUUCCUGACCCUGAAACCACUGACAAUUUCCACUGCUAAAGAAGUGUGUGCUAAAGAUGGAUUUAUUGGGGUCCCACCCUCCAAACCGUAUCAGCAGAACUUCAACACCAGGUUCUUGUAGUUUCAGAACUCUUGUGCCCCCCCCAAUACUUACCUCUGAAUUUCUCACUUUCAGUCCAUGACUCCCAAACGCACUGACCCACUUGACCAAAUUUACCCUGGCACAAGGGUUCACUGGAGUAUUUACCUACAGCACAGUUGUACCACAUGGGGAGAUUGCAAGCAGGGCAGGGGGUAGAGGUUAUCCAAACCACCUCCAAUCCCCAGCCCCAGCCAUUGUGCAGCACUUUCACCAGGUAAAUACUACAGCAGGAGUCAAAGGAAGUCAGGAAGAGUCUGAGAGCGAUCUGUCACCGAAAUUUGAAUGAUGUAUUUAAUAACACUGUGAAAUAGCACACUUUAGCUCCAGUAGCUCAUCAGCCUUAGCUCCCCUGAUCUGUGCACGGCGCUGACAGCUCCUUAACAUAACAAUGGGAUCCACGGGCCAAACUCACCACCGGAGCAGCUCUGCUGAAGUCAGCGAGGCUAUGUCAGAAUUCAUUCAGCCCAGCAAUCACUCUGCAUUAUCCGGGCUGCUGGUGGGGCCGCAACACCUGAGGAAUGACAAUCCCGGCUGGCAAAGAAGCAAAUGUUCAUCAAAUUAUUAUAGGAUUUCCAACUAAUUUUCCCUGAAACACAGUUGUACUGAAGAGAAGGAAAGAGAAGAAGGAGAAAAGGAG
This 887-nucleotide long non-coding RNA is filed under the name Parus major (Great Tit). RNAcentral describes it as "lncRNA (ENSPMJG00000014292.1)". The record is from RNAcentral. Lineage: Eukaryota; Metazoa; Chordata; Aves; Passeriformes; Paridae.